UUGAGUAUCGCGCGCGCUCUCCGCCGAGGCCUUUGUAUGAAUAAAAAAAAAAACAUUAAAUACAUUAAUUCAACAUUAUUUUUUUUUCUCAACGUGUAGUCGAUUAUUUUUUGAAAAAAAAAUUUUUUUUCAACGCGAAUAUCGCUUAGUUUUAUUUCACGUAAGAAUCUCUCGACGAAAAACCACUGUCGGCCAAAGAAAUAGGAUGGAGUGUAUUUUUACAUCACCUCAAAGACGUCAUCACUCAUCAGAUAACAAAAACGUCGCUGUCUCGCGAUUGUUGGUUUGACAACACCUCCUAACCUAACCUAACCUAACCUCGUGGACGGUGAGAGUUUGUGAGAGUCGUCCAGAGGUCAUUGAUGUUGGCGUGUAUCUGGCUGUACAAUAUAAUCGUCGUUGAUUUAUUAUUAUAGUGCGCCCACGAGUUUCCUCGUUUUGGGCGCGAUUCAUGUGCAAUCGUUUCUUCGUUCAGGCCAUACAAUCUUUUGACGGAUUACCGUGAACCGUGUAUAAGCUGGCCGGCUGGCUGGCUGGCUGGCUCACGCACAAACUUAAACAUCAAAUUCUCUUGAAAAAACUGCACGGAUCACACCAGACGAAUUAUGUGUGGGGAAAUCGAAAAUUAACAACGAAGGGAGGAGACGACUAUAAGAACGCCGGCGGCCUCUUCGAGUAGUAGGUCGGUCAUACACGUGCCGUGACUGGUUUGAGAGCAGAAAAUUUGCAAUGUCAAUGGUGUGUAUACACACGCGCACGUUCACUAUGUUUGGCAACACGUGUACGCAUACAGAGCGAAUUUUUGCCCAC
Long non-coding RNA from Adelges cooleyi (spruce gall adelgid), 810 nucleotides. RefSeq lists it as uncharacterized. The record is from RefSeq and is a predicted model, not a curated record. NCBI's taxonomy places the organism in Eukaryota, Metazoa, Arthropoda, Insecta, Hemiptera, Adelgidae. The transcript has 3 exons.